CUCUUGGCCUCAACAACAAUUCUGGCCCUUAUAGGUAACGCAGCCAUGGACCCGGUUGCGCUGCUGCAGGUGCUGAAGGUGGCCCUGAUGAACCCGGCGAGGGAGAGGGCGCCGCCAGGGCCGUGGAAGCUGCCGGUGGUCGGCAGCAUGCACCACCUGGUGAACGUGUUGCCGCACCGCGCGCUGAGGGAUCUGGCUGGCGCGCAUGGCCCGCUCAUGAUGCUACAGCUUGGGCAGACGCCGCUGCUGGUGGCGUCCUCCAGGGAGACGGCGCGGCUGGUGCUCAAGACCCACGACGCUAACUUCGCCACGCGGCCAAAGAUCCUCGCGGCCCAGAUCGUCACCUACGACUCGGCCGACAUCCUCUUCUCCCCCUCGGGCGAAUACUGGCGCAAACUCCGCCAGCUCUGCGCAGCCGAGAUCCUAGGCCCCAAGCGCGUGCUCUCCUUCCGCCACAUUAGGGAGGACGAGAUGAGGAUGCGGGUGGAGCAGAUCCGCCAGGCAGGGUCGUCGACACCCGUGAACAUGAGCGUCAUGUUCCAUGGCCUGACCAACAGCAUCGUUGCGCGGGCAGCAUUCGGGAAGACGCCGAAGAAGUCACCAGAGUUCCUAGCCGCCAUCAAGUCCGGGGUGCGCCUGGCGAGCGGCUUCAACAUCCCCGACCUCUUCCCGGAGUGGACGACAGUGCUCGCCGCACUCACCGGCAUGGAGCGCAGCCUCCAGGGCGUCCACAAGACGGUGGAUGCAUUCCUGGAGGAGAUGAUCAAUGAGAGGAACGCCGCCCGCGCCGACAAGAUCAAGGUCGGCGGCCCCGAGAACGUGGACGAGAACCUCAUCGACGUGCUCAUUGGCCUACAGGAGAGAGGCGGCCUUGGGUUUGAGCUCGACAACAGUAGGAUCAAGGCCAUCAUCCUGGACAUGUUCGUGGGAGGCACGGGGACAGCAGCAUCGUCGAUGGAGUGGGGGAUGUCGGAGCUGAUGCGGAACCCGCUGGUGAUGAAGAAGUUGCAGGGCCAGAUCCGAGAGGCGUUCAAGGGUAAGGCCGUGGUGACGGAGGCCGACCUGCAGGCGAGCAACCUUCGGUACCUGAAACUGGUGAUCAAGGAGGCACUCCGGCUGCAUCCGCCGGCGCCGCUGCUGGUGCCCCGGGAGAGCAUUGGCAGUUGCGAGCUGCAAGGGUACACGGUCCCUGCCAAGUCGCGCGUCGUCAUCAACGCAUGGGCCAUUGGGCGGGACCCGGUGUACUGGAAGGAUGCCGAGGAGUUCCAGCCUGAGCGCUUCGAGGACGGGGCUGUAGACUUCACCGGCAAGAGCUACGAGUUCGUCCCGUUCGGUGCUGGCCGCAGGAUGUGCCCCGGCAUCAACUACGCGCUUGCCAUCAUGGAACUUGCCCUCGUCGGUCUGCUCUACCACUUUGACUGGUCGCUGCCGGUAGGCGUUUGCGAGGUCGACAUGGAGGAGGCCCCCGGCCUCGGCGUGCGGCGCCGCACGCCGCUGAUGCUCCUCGCCACGCCCUUCGUCCCGGCCGCCCACGAGUAA
RNAcentral lists this ribosomal RNA (1539 nucleotides) under Triticum aestivum (bread wheat). RNAcentral describes it as "partial small subunit ribosomal RNA". Lineage: Eukaryota; Viridiplantae; Streptophyta; Magnoliopsida; Poales; Poaceae. The record is from RNAcentral.